This 26-nucleotide non-coding RNA is filed under the name Homo sapiens (human). The record is from RNAcentral. Lineage: Eukaryota; Metazoa; Chordata; Mammalia; Primates; Hominidae.
GCAGUUGUGGAAUCUGUAGUACUAGC